RNAcentral lists this ribosomal RNA (253 nucleotides) under uncultured bacterium. RNAcentral describes it as "partial 16S ribosomal RNA". It matches the Rfam family "Bacterial small subunit ribosomal RNA", at positions 524 to 776 of the family's 1533-position model. The record is from RNAcentral.
UACGAGGGGGGCAAAUGUUGUUCGGAAUCACUGGGCGUAAAGGGAGCGUAGGCGGGUUUCUAAGUCAGGUGUUUAAUCCCGGGGCCCAACCCCGGACAGGCACUUGAAACUGGAAAUCUUGAAUAGUGGAGAGGUCAGUGGAAUUGGGGGUGUAGCGGUGGAAUGCGUAGAGAUCCCCAAGAACACCAGUUGCGAAGGCGGCUGACUGGACACAUAUUGACGCUGAGGCUCGAAAGCAUGGGGAGCAAACAGG